CCUACGGGCGGCAGCAGUGAGGAAUAUUGGUCAAUGGACGCAAGUCUGAACCAGCCAUGCCGCGUGCAGGAAGACGGCUCUAUGAGUUGUAAACUGCUUUUGUACGAGGGUAAACGCAGAUACGCGUAUCUGUCUGAAAGUAUCGUACGAAUAAGGAUCGGCUAACUCCGUGCCAGCAGCCGCGGUAAUACGGAGGAUUCAAGCGUUAUCCGGAUUUAUUGGGUUUAAAGGGUGCGUAGGCGGUCGGAUGAGUUAGAGGUGAAAUCCCGAGGCUCAACUUCGGAAUUGCCUCUGAUACUGGUCGGCUUGAGAGUAGUUGAGGUAGGCGGAAUGUAUGGUGUAGCGGUGAAAUGCUUAGAGAUCAUACAGAACACCGAUUGCGAAGGCAGCUUACCAAGCUACUUCUGACGUUGAGGCACGAAAGCGUGGGGAGCAAACAGGAUUAGAUACCCUUGUAGUC
Molecule: ribosomal RNA, 460 nt
Filed under: uncultured bacterium
Lineage: Bacteria
Description: partial 16S ribosomal RNA
Rfam family: Bacterial small subunit ribosomal RNA
Source: RNAcentral